Molecule: long non-coding RNA, 1296 nt
Organism: Gallus gallus (chicken)
Lineage: Eukaryota; Metazoa; Chordata; Aves; Galliformes; Phasianidae
Source: Ensembl
CCGAGACAGCACUGUGUGAGACAAUCCGUUUUCCUUUUGCCUGGCUCUUGUCAGUGAAAUAUGAUGGCCACAGAUGUGCCCAAAUUUGAAGAAAAAUAAUCUUUUACAUCUUGUAUGUGGAAUGUGGUCUUUCACCGUAGGAACACCAAAUAACCAGUGCAACGUUUAAGUUUCAAGCCUGACAUUGUUCACUCUGCCAGCCUUUUGAAAGCCUUCUUUUAUUAAGAGCCAGGUUUCCCACUGCUCCCCUGUGUGAGGGGAGGUGCCUCGCUGGUGCUAAGUCUGCAGGUAGGUACUUAUGAGCAGUGGGCAGAUCCACAUUCCUGCUUCACCCACCCUUCCACUCUGCUCUCCAGAAACAAAGGUGCAUGACACAGCAGUGCCAGAGAUGUUCACAGCCACUCCAGGACAGAGGAGGACCUCCUGUCUUCCAGCACUGCUCCUGGGAAAGCUCUGCCUGAGGCACGACAGAGUGAGGAAAAAGGCAGCCUGGUUCCAGCCAGGGAUGGAAAUUAUUCUGGCAAGGUGUUCGUGAACCAGAAGGUGAAAACCUGUUGGUGUCAGCAGGAGAAAGAGACUAAGAGGCAGAUGGUGUCAGUUAAAAAAGCUGGGAUCACAAGUCUGCUUCUUUUCUGAAUGAUUAUCAGUAGGAUGAGAGACUGAUGCCUGAAGAGAUGCUGGGUGAAUUAUAUACACUUGAGAAGGCUCUUCACACACAUGGAAUGAACACAAAGGUGCGCCUUUUCUUUGCUAGGUAAAGGGAAGAUUUCUGUUUCCAACAAGAAACCAAGCAGAAAGUUUUUUGCUUGUGCAGAAUAAGUAAUUUUAUUUGUGGUAUAUGGAGCUAAGAGGCAGUGGUUUCAGAAGCAAUUGCUACCGGGUGUGAAUCUGCAGCAUACAUUAGCUCUAUGCCAUCUGCAGAGUCCGACAUGUGUCCCAGCAUAAGAAUCCCAAAACCUGACUGGCUAGACAGGCACGGUCUUCAUGAACCACUGACUUCCAAGCUGAACAGGGCAACUGCUAUGCUGAAUUAGAGAUUUCUUUCCCAGAAGUAAACCAUGAGCUUAAAGAAAUGCAACUCAAUUAAUGGGCAGACUAAGUUCCUGGGGAAAGUGGAAUUAUCUUCAUUUUUUCUUUGACAUGCUUAUUACCACUGGAGGUGCAGCAAAGAUGAAGCUGAAGGUCACUGAAAAGAAAGAAAGAUUGAAUUUGAAGUACUUUAUCACUGAAACUGCAGCAUUUUCCCCUUACCAGUUUUUAAAACCUAAAUAUCCAUUAUAUUUCAUUGGUGCUUAG